This 468-nucleotide ribosomal RNA is filed under the name uncultured bacterium. RNAcentral's name for it is "partial 16S ribosomal RNA". It matches the Rfam family "Bacterial small subunit ribosomal RNA", at positions 28 to 507 of the family's 1533-position model. The record is from RNAcentral.
GACGAACGCUGGCGGCGUGCUUAACACAUGCAAGUCGAACGGAAAGGCCCUGCUUUUGUGGGGUGCUCGAGUGGCGAACGGGUGAGUAACACGUGAGUAACCUGCCCUUGACUUUGGGAUAACUUCAGGAAACUGGGGCUAAUACCGGAUAGGAGCUCCUGCUGCAUGGUGGGGGUUGGAAAGUUUCGGCGGUUGGGGAUGGAUUCGCGGCUUAUCAGUUUGUUGGUGGGGUAGUGGCUUACCAAGGCUUUGACGGGUAGCCGGCCUGAGAGGGUGACCGGCCACAAUGGGACUGAGAUACGGACCAGACUCCUACGGGAGGCAGUAGUGGGGAGUAUUGCACAAUGGGCGGAAGCGUGAUGCAGCAACGCCGCGUGCGGGAUGACGGCCUUCGGGUUGUAAACCGCUUUCGCCUGUGACGAAGCGUGAGUGACGGUAAUGGGUAAAGAAGCACCGGCUAACUACGUG